RNAcentral lists this ribosomal RNA (215 nucleotides) under Amphora coffeiformis. Its description in RNAcentral is "partial Bacterial large subunit ribosomal RNA". It matches the Rfam family "Bacterial large subunit ribosomal RNA", at positions 1741 to 1949 of the family's 2925-position model. The record is from RNAcentral. Lineage: Eukaryota; Bacillariophyta; Bacillariophyceae; Surirellales; Surirellaceae.
AUAAGGUACGCCCUAGUAGUUUGACCACUUUACUGUGGAAGGACGAACGGGUUGCAAUAAAAUGGUGGCUGCGACUGUUUAAUAAAAACACAGCACUCUGCAAACACGAAAGUGGACGUAUAGGGUGUGACGCCUGCCCGGUGCUGGAAGAUUAAAUGAUGGGGUGCAAGCUCUUGAUUGAAGUCCCAGUAAACGGCGGCCGUAACUAUAACGGU